RNAcentral lists this ribosomal RNA (402 nucleotides) under uncultured bacterium. RNAcentral's name for it is "bacterial SSU rRNA". It matches the Rfam family "Bacterial small subunit ribosomal RNA", at positions 355 to 774 of the family's 1533-position model. The record is from RNAcentral.
UGGGGAAUAUUGGACAAUGGGGGCAACCCUGAUCCAGCCAUGCCGCGUGAGUGAUGAAGGCCUUCGGGUUGUAAAGCUCUUUUGGCGGGGACGAUGAUGACGGUACCCGCAGAAUAAGCCCCGGCUAACUUCGUGCCAGCAGCCGCGGUAAGACGAAGGGGGCAAGCGUUGUUCGGAAUUACUGGGCGUAAAGGGCGCGUAGGCGGUUUGCUUAGUCAGGCGUGAAAGCCCUGGGCUUAACCUGGGAUGUGCGCUUGAUACUGGCAGGCUUGAGUGUGGGAGAGGUUGGUGGAAUUCCCAGUGUAGAGGUGAAAUUCGUAGAUAUUGGGAAGAACACCGGUGGCGAAGGCGGCCAACUGGACCACAACUGACGCUGAGGCGCGAAAGCGUGGGGAGCAGACA